UCCUACGGGAGGCAGCAGUGAGGAAUAUUGGUCAAUGGGCGGAAGCCUGAACCAGCCAAGUCGCGUGAAGGAUGAAGGUAUUAUGUAUUGUAAACUUCUUUAGCAGUGGAGAAAUAAGGGAGUCGAGACUCCUGAUGCUAGUACACUGAGAAUAAGGAUCGGCUAACUCCGUGCCAGCAGCCGCGGUAAAUACGGAGGAU
Molecule: ribosomal RNA, 200 nt
Filed under: uncultured bacterium
Lineage: Bacteria
Description: partial 16S ribosomal RNA
Rfam family: Bacterial small subunit ribosomal RNA
Source: RNAcentral